Molecule: ribosomal RNA, 242 nt
Filed under: uncultured bacterium
Lineage: Bacteria
Description: partial 16S ribosomal RNA
Rfam family: Bacterial small subunit ribosomal RNA
Source: RNAcentral
GCAAGUCGAACGAGAAAGCCCCUUCGGGGGUGCGUAGAGUGGCGAACUGGUGAGUAACGCGUAAGGAUCUUCCAUACAGUGGAGGAUACCUCCGGGAAACCGGGGCUAAUACUGCAUAAGUCCCUUCGGGGAGAAAGGUGGCUUCUUGCUACCGCUGUUUGAUGAACUUGCGUACUAUUAGCUUGUUGGUGAGGUAAAGGCUCACCAUGGCGAUGAUGGUUAGCCGACCUGAGAGGGUGAUC